GACGAACGCUGGCGGCGUGCUUAACACAUGCAAGUCGAACGGAAAGGCCCUGCUUUUGUGUGGUGCUCGAGUGGCGAACGGGUGAGUAACACGUGAGUAACCUGCCCUUGACUUUGGGAUAACUUCAGGAAACUGGGGCUAAUACCGGAUAGGAGCUCCUGCUGCAUGGUGGGGGUUGGAAAGUUUCGGCGGUUGGGGAUGGACUCGCGGCUUAUCAGCUUGUUGGUGGGGUAGUGGCUUACCAAGGCUUUGACGGGUAGCCGGCCUGAGAGGGUGACCGGCCACAUUGGGACUGAGAUACGGCCCAGACUCCUACGGGAGGCAGCAGUGGGGAAUAUUGCACAAUGGGCGGAAGCCUGAUGCAGCAACGCCGCGUGCGGGAUGACGGCCUUCGGGUUGUAAACCGCUUUCGCCUGUGACGAAGCGUGAGUGACGGUAAUGGGUAAAGAAGCACCGGCUAACUACGU
This 467-nucleotide ribosomal RNA is filed under the name uncultured bacterium. RNAcentral describes it as "partial 16S ribosomal RNA". It matches the Rfam family "Bacterial small subunit ribosomal RNA", at positions 28 to 506 of the family's 1533-position model. The record is from RNAcentral.